This 301-nucleotide ribosomal RNA is filed under the name uncultured bacterium. RNAcentral's name for it is "partial 16S ribosomal RNA". It matches the Rfam family "Bacterial small subunit ribosomal RNA", at positions 509 to 807 of the family's 1533-position model. The record is from RNAcentral.
CAGCAGCCACGGGAAUACAGAGGGUGCGAGCGUUAAUCGGAUUUACUGGGCGUAAAGCGUGCGUAGGCGGCUUCUUAAGUCGGAUGUGAAAUCCCUGAGCUUAACUUAGGAAUUGCAUUCGAUACUGGGAAGCUAGAGUAUGGGAGAGGAUGGUAGAAUUCCAGGUGUAGCGGUGAAAUGCGUAGAGAUCUGGAGGAAUACCGAUGGCGAAGGCAGCCAUCUGGCCUAAUACUGACGCUGAGGUACGAAAGCAUGGGGAGCAAACAGGAUUAGAUACCCCAGUAGUCCAUGUCUCUUAUAC